UUAUUGAAGGGUUUGAUUCUGGCUCAGAAUGAACGUUGGCGGCAUGGAUUAGGCAUGCAAGUCGAGCGGGCGUAGCAAUACGUCAGCGGCGUAAGGGACAGGAACACGUAGAUUACCUGCCCUCGGGUCUGGGAUAGCCACGGGAAACUGUGGGUAAUACCAGAUGAUAUCUCCGGAUCAAAGGUGUGAUUCC
Molecule: ribosomal RNA, 193 nt
Filed under: Planctomycetaceae bacterium
Lineage: Bacteria; Pseudomonadati; Planctomycetota; Planctomycetia; Planctomycetales; Planctomycetaceae
Description: partial 16S ribosomal RNA
Rfam family: Bacterial small subunit ribosomal RNA
Source: RNAcentral